CAUGUGCUGCAGUCACACCUCUGAGUACAGUGUAGAUAUACCUAUCCUUUGAGUGCAACAGAAUUGUAUUAGUUCAUAAUCAACUUGGCUGUGCUCUAGAAUGUUUAUCUUUGCAAUCAUAAGCCCUAUGGAGAAAAGACGGAGGAAAUGUUGAAAAUGAGUGCUCCUUAGAACACCUCAGGCCUCAGGCAGGGCCUACCUGAAAUCUCAGCAAAGCAAAUGGCUGUAUGGCUCCCCAUAGCUCUUCAGACUCUGAUCUGACAUAUUUUAGGGUGUGUGACCAAAAGGCCUGUCAGCUAGCUUAAUUUAUGAUGGAUUGACCUUCACAUUCUAGGAGACUUGUUUAACUUGGCCCCUGUCCACCCAACCACAUGCUAAGCAAAAUGAGUGCAUUACCAGGCAAGGAGCUACUUCCCCGAUAAAGAGGAAAGAUGAAGUAAUACUGAGGCUACCUGAGCACUAUAUCACUGUUUGAUAAUGUGGAAAAAAUAAAUAAAGGAACAUAAGGGCAAGAUAAUAAGACUUAAUUGAAGGAGAAUGUAACUAAUAGCUCUGUAGCGCUAUACACAUUAUUAAAUAAUAGUAAUCCAGUAUGCUAAAUCUUUACAGACAAUCCAGCAGAGAAGGUCUCUGCCUCAAAGAGAUUACAGUCUAACACUCCC
Molecule: long non-coding RNA, 662 nt
Organism: Mauremys reevesii (Reeves's turtle)
Lineage: Eukaryota; Metazoa; Chordata; Testudines; Geoemydidae
Exons: 3
Source: RefSeq, a predicted model, not a curated record